GACGAACGCUGGCGGCGUGCCUAAUACAUGCAAGUAGAACGCUGAAGGAGGAGCUUGCUCUUCUGGAUGAGUUGCGAACGGGUGAGUAACGCGUAGGUAACCUGCCUGGUAGCGGGGGAUAACUAUUGGAAACGAUAGCUAAUACCGCAUAACAGUAGAUGUUGCAUGACAUUUGCUUAAAAGGUGCAAUUGCACCACUACCAGAUGGACCUGCGUUGUAUUAGCUAGUUGGUGGGGUAACGGCUCACCAAGGCGACGAUACAUAGCCGACCUGAGAGGGUGAUCGGCCACGCUGGGACUGAGACACGGCCCAGACUCCUACGGGAGGCAGCAGGAGGGAAUCUUCGGCAAUGGACGGAAGUCUGAACGAGCAACGCCGCGUGAGUGAAGAAGGUUUUCGGAUCGUAAAGCUCUGUUGUAAGAGAAGAACGAGUGUGAGAGUGGAAAGUUCACACUGUGACGGUAUCUUACCAGAAAGGGACGGCUAACUACGUG
Molecule: ribosomal RNA, 495 nt
Filed under: uncultured bacterium
Lineage: Bacteria
Description: partial 16S ribosomal RNA
Rfam family: Bacterial small subunit ribosomal RNA
Source: RNAcentral